UUCGCCUCAUACGACGACGUGUCGUUGAUCAAACCUUAAACCCCUUGUGCCUGUUUCUUCAAUGGCUGAUGUUUCUAGGGUUUUAGGACAAUCUCUCCCCUUCCCCUAAUUUCAAUUUUCUUUGCAAAACCCUAACUUGAUGAACACUCAUGCCGUCUCCUUAUUUUCUCUCUCUAUUUUCCCAUCCACCAAACACUUCCUCAAAUGCGCUUUUGUUCAAUUAUCCCAUCAUCACUUGCUCACUCUCUCAAAUUCAAAAUUUGCUCAUUUUUUCAUUUCCCUACAUUUAAAUUCUCCUCUUACUCUGCUCUCAAACUACAACAAACCAUUGAAGAAACCCACACCCAUUAUUACAACUACAAAGACUUGCAACAAAUUUUGCGAAAUUUUGCAUCUUCUGGUGACUUUGCACAAGCUUUUCACACUUUAACUUUCAUGAGGAACACCAUACCCGGAAAGCCCACUCUAUAUGAUUGUAAUUCUUUACUUUUUCAUUAUCUCAAAUCUACCAAUAAUGUUUCUGUUAAUGUAGUGCUGGAGUUUUAUCUGAGUAUGAAGAGAGUUGGUCCGAACCCGGAUGCUUUCACUUUUAAUACUCUUUUUAAUGGUUUGUUAUCAUUUGGGUACCUUAAAGAUGCAAUCUUUAUUCUUGACGAGAUGCGUGCUAAUGGGUUUGUGCCUUCAGUUUCGGUUUUUUCGAAAUUGCUGAAAAAAUCACUUGAAUUGGAGUGUUUGAUGGAUUCGAUUUGUGUUUUUGAGACUAUGAUGAUGUCUGGUUAUGUUCCUAAUAAAUCCACUUUUAACUUGAUGAUUUGUUUGUUAUGUAAAGCUCGUAUGGUUCGUGAAGCCUACUUUGUGUUUUUGGUUCUUUUUAAUAAAGGUUGUUUUUUUGGUGUAUAUACUUUUAAUCCUAUUUUAUGGGCUUUCUGUAAGUUCAAUCAAACUCGUACCGCUAUGCAAUUGUUUUGCUCGAUGAAGAAGAGAGGUGUUGUGUACAAUGUAUGUUCAUAUACUGCUUUGAUUUAUGGAUUUUGUAGAGAAGGUUUGGCGGAGGAUGCUUUACGGUGUUUAGAAGCGAUGAAAGGUAUUGGCUGUAAGCCCAAUGUUAUAUCGUACACAGUUGUUAUUAAGUUUCUCUGUGAUACUCAAAGGAUUAAUGAGGCGAUGAGAAUUUUUUGUGAGAUGGACAGCGAAGGAUGUCAUCCUGACUUGCAGACGUACAAUGUAAUUCUGCGGGAACUUUGUCAUCAAGGUAGAGUACCUGAAACUCUUGAGCUCAUUCAGAUCAUGGAUCAAAGGGGAUUUUGCCCUGAUUCAUUCACGUAUGCUUCCUUAGCUGGAAGCCUGUUGAAAAAUGGUAAAGUUGAGUUGGCUUAUGAUUUGUUGCUUGAUGCACUCUCUAAAGGCUGUGUAGAUGUUGCUGUUUACAAUCUAUAUCUCCAUUGUUUGUGUCUUCAAAACAGAUCUAAAGAAGCUUUCAUUGUAUUGACCCGUAUGAUAGGAGAAGGUUUCGUGCCAACUAAUGUGUCAUAUAAUACAAUUAUAAAUGGUUUUUGUAAAGAAUAUGGUGCCGAUAAGGGUUUUGAGCUCCUUGACCAUUUUAAGUGGGAAGGGAAGGGGCCUGACGUUUGUUCCUUCAAUCCAAUUUUAUGUAUGGCCUGCAGACAGGAAAAUUCCAUUUUGAUACAGAAAAUCCUGCGUAGGAUGGAGUAUGAAGGUAUUAAGUGUGAUGUUGUUAGUUCAAUUUCUCUGAUCAAUUAUCUCUGUGGAGUUAGGAAAUUUUCAGAAUGUUUAAAGCUAUUAGAAACUGUGAUGCAUAGUGGUAUUGGUCCAACAGAAAUUACUUUUUUUAAUAUGGUAUUGAGCAAGCUAUGCAAGAAGGGGUUAAUAGGAACUGCUCUCCGGAUUUGUAAGCAAGCUAAAAGUACUAGACCAGUAACAUGCUAAUUGAUCUUGUUUUGGAAUAUGCUACAAGAUAAUGAUACAAGUAUGUUAUCAUUAGAAUCCUACCGUCUCCCCAUAGUUUGGAGUUCUCUCCAGAUUCUGAACUGGAGAGUGCCUACUUUCCGUAUUUACUUGGCGGUGACAAAACUUGGAUGAAGAUAACUUGGAGAAAUUGCCACCAGAAUCUAACUCUAAGAACAAUGAGGCGCAGUAUUAUCGUUUCUGUGGAACAUAGCAGACAGUUAGACUCAAAGUCUGAAAACAGGAUUACUUUUGAACAGGUACCAUUCAGAUGUUUGGGGAAUGGAUAAACCACUAGCCAAAUGUAACAGAUGCUGAUUGUCAAAUCAAGAAGUACUUGUUAUCAUUCAGAGCCAUGUCUUAAGUUCAGCUGUCUUGGCAGAAAGUUACGAAUCUGCAGAUCGUCUUGAACUCGGAUUUAUCAUGACUUCUGGUUCGAAGUACUCGCUGCAUGGAGACUGCAAAAGCUAGAACAUGAUGACGACUUGUGCCUUAUAGACCUCCCAAAAGUAAUCAAUUUCUACAUAUUCCUAUCAGGAUAAGCUUUAAGUGCUAUUUAUUUUCACCAUUUCAAAUCGAACUGAAUCAAUUUUAUCUGGUUGGUUCUAUUAUUUGGUUUGUUGGUUUUUUUAAACUGAUAUCAAUUAAAUUCUUUAUAUUGAAUCUUAA
Molecule: RNA transcript, 2634 nt
Organism: Mercurialis annua (annual mercury)
Lineage: Eukaryota; Viridiplantae; Streptophyta; Magnoliopsida; Malpighiales; Euphorbiaceae
Exons: 3
Source: RefSeq, a predicted model, not a curated record